UCAUGAAAGGUCAGAGAUCGAUGUGUCACCUCCCAGUCCCCUCCACAGGGCCAUGGGAGAAAAUGGAGUGGUGGUUGGGUAGAUGAUGCCCUUGAGUUCUUCCAAACUCUGAGGAAGGAGAAAGAAGACUCGGGUGGAACUAGAAAGAAGCUGGCUGCAGAGCUGGCCCAAAGGCCCCUCGUGCAGCAAAGCUCCAGGUGGGGAAAACGUCGGUGAGGAGGGAGAUUCAACAAUGCAAGUCCAAGGUGAACUUCUCUGGAAAGUCUCUCUCCCCUCUGGCAAAACACAGAAACGCACAGUGCCAUGUAUUGGCACUGACUCUGUGCCAGACUCUUCACAUGGACCCAUCAGGUUGAUGCUAUGGUGGUUUAUUGUUGUUGUUAUUCCCAUUUUAUAGAUGAUAUCUCUGAGCACAGAAAGGUUAAAAGACUUCCACAGGUUGGACAGCUGGUAAAUAGGGUAUCUGGCGUUUGAACUGAUGCAUUCUGACUGUACUACACAUUCCCAAUCAUGCUACUCGAGUGCCAUGCUGGGAAGAUCUGUUUCCCACUGGGCAGUUUUCCCAGUGGUGAGGGGUUGGGAUCGCCCAAUUCUGAGAGGCAGUCACUCCUGAUGGUGAGAGCAACUUCUGAGCAGCUUCCGUGGUAUCUUGGAGGUGAAAAAGCUGGUUGGGUGUUUAGCCCCAAAGCCACCAGCUGGCUCCCAGGGAGAACCAUAGGAGACUCUUAGUGGAGCAGAGUAAGCAUGGGUUGCUCCUGGAGACAAAAAGGACUCCGGAAGAAGGGGACCUGACUGGAGGAGCAGGGCAGGUUGGAGGAGGAGGAGCCGGCAAUCCUUGCAUCAGGGAUUGGUCUAAACUGUGGACUGCUGAGGGCCUUUGAGGCAGGGAGAAAGUCCUGCUGUGCUGCACUUUCUCCUUGGUUUUGGGCUUUUGUGGAGACCUGCUGCUUGGACCGGUUUUGGCUGUCUUCUGACUGUGAAGGUGGAUAUUAUAGAGAGAGUUGACAUAUGUAAAUAAAGGCUUGAGUCCUUGUCGAUGCAACUGAGUUUCAGAAUCGCCUAUUUGGGACAUCUUGGUAGGUUGGCUUUUCUGCGGAUUGAAGUCCAAAGAAUCUAACUGAUAGACAUACUUUUUCCCUAACUCAUCUAACAUGAGCAGGCACAAAGCAAACCCUUCAGCAAAGAAUUGAUAAACACUCUGGUUUUGUUAUGGCUUAAAGCGAGAUUCUGGACCCCGGAGGAUUUCUGAGGAGUUUGACUGUGCAGUCACAUGACAGAGGAACUGGAAACUAACUUGAACAAAAGGUAGCAGGCUGGACGGCCAAGGAAUCUCCUUUUCUGUCAAGACAACAAGCUGCUUACCUCAGAAUCAGCUGCUUCUUUGUUUAGUUCUUUUUCUCUUCCUGAAGGAUUUGGAACUGAGAUCCAUCCAUCCAUCCAGCAAAUAUCUAUCACACCCCCUGUAUGUGAGCAUUUACCUAUGUGGCGGUAAUGGGGACCCUGGGUUCCCCUCAACCGGGUGCUAUGUGCACUGUAACAACUGUGGCAGUGCUGUGGGCUGUGGGCUGUGGGCUCUUUUGUCAACAGCCUCCUGCUCCCAAAGCUGGGCCCUUCUAAAGAUGGUGUCAGAGAGAGCCCUUGAGGAACUCAGCCUAGCAAAGAGUUAUCCAGUGACAACCAAGCAGAGCCACUGCGUCGGGUGUGAAAAGACAUGCUGCCAGCGUACUAUGGGUGCUAUCGCACUGAAACGUGCAGAAUGGGUGUCACGGCAUGGAAGAAAGUCUCUGAGCAGAGACUUAAGAAAUGCAGCCUCACCAACAGUCACUUGACAGAUGAGGACACAGACCCAGAGAGGACAAGUCGCUCAUCUUACAUGUGUUAACCCAUCAAGCUGUACACUUAAGACUUACACACUUUACUCUUGGGUAUGUUUUAUUUCAGUUAAAAAAAGCAAACAGGAACAAAAGAAAAAAUGACCCUUGAUAUUUUUUGCCAUCACUGAGAAAAAGGAAUAAAGGCAGAACUUUGAAUAAAGAGAAAAUCAAUGAUACUUUACAUGUUUUAAAUUAGUCAUUAUGAGAAUGGUCUAAUUAAUUUAUCAUCCCUCUCCUGCUAGAAGCUCUUCUAAAUCUUACAUUGAAGUUUCAACUUCGGUUUCAAUGAGAUGCUUCUAAACUUGUGAUGAUGUGUAAUAGGGGUGCCGGGAUCUUCGUGUUGAUCUUAGAGUUCAGAGUCAUGUCCUGAAGUUGUUGGUUCCCACUCUGGGGUCAGGAGUGGUCACAAAGAUUCUGAAGAGUCUAGAUGUUUGUAAGAUGACAAGCUCUCGGUGACCUUUUGAGCCUCAGCAGUUUGCCUUGGCCAGUUAGGUUUAUCUCAGAUCAACCUCGAUAUAAGGAACCCUGAGGGUAUCAGAUGUCAGCACUUGCUCAGAGAACGAACGCCUACCUCAUCUCUCCCACCCCCGGAGGGACAGGAGUGCAUUCUAAUCUGCACAAGGGGAGUUUGUAGGCUCACUGAAGGCCUGGGGUGGAAUGAACUUCCAGUAUGUCUGGGUUCAGGGCUCAAACAAUGUCAUCAGGAUUCAAUUUCCCUCUACCUUGAGGUUCUUCCACCGUGUUAGUCACAAUCUCCGGAGCUCCAAUGUUGCUCCGCUCAGCUCCGGGUGUUCCCUCAUGCUGACAAGAAGGAGGCAGUGUCUUCAACCUCUGGAUCUCCUCAGCUCUAAGUCCAGUUGGGAGAGAAACACACUUUCCCUCUUACAGCAUUCUCAGGAGUCAUUAGGUCUCAUUGGCUCUGAGUGGGUCACAUGUGCUGUGCUGAGCCAAUCACUGUGACUGUGGAAAUGCAAUGUAUUGAUUGGCUUAGGCCUAGGUCACAUGCUUCUUCCUCAGAGCUCUUCCCAGAUAACUGGACAGCUUCUGUCCCUUCUCAUGAGGUUUCCUCCUGCCACUGCCUCUCUGCCUUCUUCUGGUUUCAUAGGACCAUCACACAUCUGUUGCCCAGCGGCUGUGAGGUGCAAUUACCUGGCUACCUGGGUGGAGAACAGGCCACACAUCCUAAUGGCUUGUGAAGUUAGUAUUCUCACCUGCCUCUGGGGUUGGCAGCACCUCAGCCCUGGCCAGUAUAUGAGAUGGGUGCCGUCAUGAGGCAAUCCAAUGGUUUUCAGGUGCCCUACCACUCCCUCCCCCAUCCUACAAACGCACUUUCUUCCCCUCCACCCUUGAUGGAUAGAGGACCCCUGGUCACAUCUCUUUGCUGUGUUGGUGGCCACUUGAGAAUGCUGGCAAGUUGGUCCAUUGUAUGCAGCUUUUCUCCAUGGCUAGCUCUUGUCCAUGGGUCCACUGGACCACAGGUGGCUCACAACCUGUCACAGGUUGCAGACAGUCAACAGGCACCUUCUCUUUUCACCCCCUCACUGAGUUGUACCACUCCAGGCCUGACCAUAGCAGCCAUGCUUACUCUGUAGAGGUCUAUGCGUGUUACCUCAGGCCUGUGUGUGUGUGUGUGUGCACGCACCCACGCACAGCAGGGUCACCUCCCAAUAAUCCAGGCAAGAAGCAAGUGUAACUAGUUUAUGGGAUGGAAUAUACCUGGUCAGGUACAAUCCAAGGCUGAAGCAAAACCUGACGUUCCAUGUCUCAAAUUAUUGCCUGUCUUAUUCUGAGUGUUAACGUGAAACUAAAAACCUUAGGUUUGGGAUCUCAAAGGGUCGGUACUACUGAUAAAAAUUGCUGAUUGCAUGCAUACACUUGGUUAGUGCAACAUUGACAUGCAUUUCCUUCGAUAAGCUACGCUGGGAGCAGGUUAAUGGAAAGGGGCUGGCACAACCUUCUUGGGAUGGGCUGUCUGGCCGGCUGCCACUAAGUCCCAGCUGGAGCAUCAGUGACCUCUGCUGGCGAGAUUUUUCUCUCUGGUCUGCACAACAGUUGGCAUCUCCUCCAGGUCUGUGUGUCCGGUACAGCGUUCUUCAGAGAGAAGCCGCAAGACUGACGCCCAGCGAAGGUAGGGAAGACUGAGAUUUUAUGCUAAAACAUUUACAGGGGUUAGAGGUCACAGCAGGCAGGAGUUUAAGCAUUGAUCGCAUCCCUGCCUUCAUCAGCUGUUUCUCAAAUGCGGACAUUACUCACUCUCCACAUAUAAACGUGUUUUCUUUCUUUUUUAAAAUACUUUUCUCAAGAAGAACAUAUGCAAAAACAAGUUUCACAUAAACAAAUUUAUGAGAUUUCUUAAGAAUAACAUGUUUGCAAGUUGAGGAAAUGAGGUGAAAACACUCUGUCAAAAUGAGUUCACUUUUUUACGUGUGUGUCAGGGGAUGAGGCAUCCUUUACAGAUACCUACCCAAAUCACACGCUCCACGUUGGCACGUCCUCUCACCCACAGACACAUGGGAAAUGCUGUUGCAGGACAAGCCCUGAGCGCACCUCUAAGCCAGGCAGACCUUUUGUAACCGGCCGGGUACGUCUAUAAUGGGAGACUCUGGACAGCAAAGUCGAAGCCAUCAUGGCAGGUCUUGAGAGUCAUGCUGAUGCAGAGUUACUGACUUAGCAGCUCUUGUCCCCGUGGGACCAUGUGGUGGGCACUUGAGGGCCUCGCCCAGCCUGCCUGCCUUCUCUGAUUAUUGCGUUUGCCUUCAGGGAGGGGCCUCUGCAGCCAUAUUCUCACAGGACUCGGUCCCUUUAACCAGAGCUAACAGACCAAGGGGAACCAAUCCCUUCAAUGGGCUUGAGGGAGGGUGGGAACCAGAUAUCCUUUUCCAGAAACUGGCAGUCAGGACACAGGGGCGACAGUCAGGCUCUGGUGGACACUUAGCCUGUGAGGUCCUAUCGGGCUGGCCUGCAUCUUCCACUGCAGACAGAGAGAGGCAGAGAAGGCCGGUCAGCACAGAGAGAAGUGAGCAAAGGUGACAGGAGGGGGACGCAGAGACGAUGAGGUGAUGUGGAGAGAGAGAAGGUCUCUGCUCCCUGGUUCCAGUUUCCAUCCAUCCUCCCCUACGUUCUCUCUUACGCUCCUAUUUCCUUCCCACGUCCCAUUUUGUUUCAACAAAAAAGACCUGGAAGACAGAUGCCCUUCUGCCUAGUUUGCAUUUAAUACAGAGCAAAAUAAUUCCAAACACUUUUGCUUGAGAGCUCAGAAUUUGAAUUAUAUUUAUCCAAACUGUCAGGAAUCUUCAGGAUGGAGUGAGAUGUCUGUUAACUGGAUUUUCUGGAGAAAUGAGAGUUAAGCAGAAAACUGUUUUUCUGUUUGUUACCACCUUUGUUAUAGAAAUCUGUCUAAAAUGCAUGAAUAAAGAAAAAAUUGGAACAACUUAAAUGUCUACCAUAGGACACUGGUUAGAGAUUCAUACAAUGGAGUACUAUGCAGGCAUUAAAACAAUAAGACAGAGCCAUAUGCCCCACCAUAGAAGGUUCUCCAUGACGUAUUUUAAAAUAAACUAAAGUAUUGAAUGCUAUGUGUAGUGUGCUCUCAUUUGUGUAAAAAAAAUUAAGAAGGAAAUAAAAAUAUAAAAGUUCAUAGAUACACAUGCAUAUGUGCUUGGAUAUGCAUAGGAUAUCUGUGGGGUUACCCAAGAUCUGCAACGGUGCAUGCCACUAAGGAGAAGCCUGGGGGCAGAACGAGAUGGAAACUUAUUUUUCUCUGUGUACCCUUUUGUACUAUUGGAAAAAACUUUUUUUUAAUUACCAUGUACAUGUAUUAGUUCUUUACAUACAUAAUAUAUUAGCACAUUCAAAUGCA
Non-coding RNA from Equus caballus (horse), 5733 nucleotides. The record is from RefSeq and is a predicted model, not a curated record. Lineage: Eukaryota; Metazoa; Chordata; Mammalia; Perissodactyla; Equidae.